RNAcentral lists this ribosomal RNA (352 nucleotides) under uncultured bacterium. RNAcentral describes it as "bacterial SSU rRNA". It matches the Rfam family "Bacterial small subunit ribosomal RNA", at positions 28 to 368 of the family's 1533-position model. The record is from RNAcentral.
GAUGAACGCUAGCUACAGGCUUAACACAUGCAAGUCGAGGGGCAGCAUGAACAUAGCUUGCUAUGUUUGAUGGCGACCGGCGCACGGGUGCGUAACACGUAUCCAAUCUGCCCGUCACUCGGGGAUAGCCUUCUGAAAGGAAGAUUAAUACCCCGAUGGGAUGCAUUUCCGGCAUCGGAGAUGCAUUAAAGAUUUUAUCGGUGACGGAUGAGGAUGCGUACGAUUAGCUUGUUGGCGGGGUAACGGCCCACCAAGGCAACGAUCGUUAGGGGUUCUGAGAGGAACGGUCCCCCACACUGGAACUGGGACACGGUCCAGACUCCUACGGGAGGCAGCAGUGAGGAAUAUUGGU